RNAcentral lists this ribosomal RNA (460 nucleotides) under uncultured bacterium. Its description in RNAcentral is "partial 16S ribosomal RNA". It matches the Rfam family "Bacterial small subunit ribosomal RNA", at positions 338 to 795 of the family's 1533-position model. The record is from RNAcentral.
CCUACGGGAGGCAGCAGUGAGGAAUAUUGGUCAAUGGGCGCGAGCCUGAACCAGCCAAGUAGCGUGAAGGAUGACUGCCCUACGGGUUGUAAACGUCUUUUAUAAAGGAAUAAAGUGAGGCACGUGUGCCUUUUUGUAUGUACUUUAUGAAUAAGGAUCGGCUAACUCCGUUCCAUCAGCCGCGGUAAUACGGAGGAUCCGAGCGUUAUCCGGAUUUAUUGGGUUUAAAGGGAGCGUAGAUGGGUUGGUAAGUUAGUUGUGAAAGUUUGCGGCUCAACCGUAAAAUUGCAAUUGAUACUGGCAGUCUUGAGUACAGUUGAGGUAGGCGGAAUUCGUGGUGUAGCGGUGAAAUGCUUAGAUAUAACGAAGAACUCCGAUUGCGAAGGCAGCUUACUAAGCUGCCACUGACAUUGAUGCUCGAAAGUGUGGGUAUCAAACAGGAUUAGAUACCCCAGUAGUC